ACAACCAUAAAGAAAAAGAUUGGUAAAUUCAAGUACAUUAAAAUUAAGACCCUCUGUUAAUCAAAAGAUACUAUUGGGGCUUCCCUGGUGGUGCAGUGGUUAAGAAUCUGCCUGCUCAAACACAGGUUUGAGCCCUGGUCUGGGAAGAUCCUACAUGCCGCGGAGCAACUAAGCCCGUGUGCCACAACUACUGAGCCUGUGCUCUAGAGCCUGCAAACCACAACUACUGAAGCCUAUGUGCCACAACUACUGAAGCCUGCGCGCCUACAGCCUGUGAUCCGCAACAAGAGAAGCCACUGCAAUGAGAAGGCCUCACACUGCAACGAAGAGUAGCCCCCACUCGCCACAACUAGAGAAAGCCCGUGCACAGCAAUGAAGACCCAACGCAGCCAAAAAAUAAAUAAGUCUAAAAAAAAAAAAAGAUACUAUUAAAGAGAGUGAAGGGGACUUCCCUGGUGGUCCAGUGGUUAAGAAUCCGCCUUCCAAUGCAGGGGAUGCAGGUUUGAUCCCUGGUCAGGGAACUAAGAUCCCACAUGCUGCAGGGCAACUAAGCCCACAUACCACAACUACAGAGCCUACGCACCACGCACCACAAGAGAGCAUGCACGCUGCAACUAGACAGAAGCCCGCACGCCACAACAAAAGAUCCCGUGUGCCUCAACUAAGACCCAACGCAGCCAAAAAUAAAUAUUUCCAAAAAAUAAAGAAAGAAGGCUGGAGAUAGCAUAGCUCUGACUUCCAAAGAUGAAAAAACAAAAAGGUGAAUGUUAAAAAAGAGAAUGAAAAGGCAAGUCACAAACUGGAAGAAGGUAUCUGCAACUCGUAUUCUGAAUUACAUCCAGAAUAUAUAAAGAACUUCUGUGAAUUAACAAGAAAAAUAAAUAACUCAAUAGAAAAAUGGGCAAAAAUUUUUUUCACAGAAGAGGAAGCACAAGUAAUUCCUAGAUAUAUGAAAUGAUGUUCAAUCUUGUUACAAAAACAGAAACUUGUAAAUUAAAAUCACUAUGUCAUCCCACAUCCAGGAGAAAAUUAAGGUUUGACAAUACCAAAUGCCAGUGAGGAAAUAGGACAAAGGACUGCAGGUGUGGGUGUGCAUGUAAAUUUGUACAACUUCUUUGGAAAACAGUUUGACAAUAUCUGGUAAAACUGAACACGUGCAUACCUUACACCCAUCAGUUCCACCUCUGAGUGUAACCCUACACAAGCCUGUGCUUAUGCACAGAAGUCACAUAUGAAAACAUACAUAGCAGCACUGUUUGAAAAAAACUAGAAACUAAAAUGUCUGUCAUUGGCAGAAUUAAUAAGAUGGGGGUGUUGGAUACACCCAGUGGAAUAUUAUAUAGCAAUGAAAAAUGAACGUAGCAUCCUACAAAUGCCUGACCACUCCUCACCAAAUUUUCAAGGAAAGUUAUCAAAAAAAAAAAAAAAGGAUACUCUGAAAAACUUUCACAGCCAAGAGGAACCUAAGGAGACAUGAUGAUGUCUAAAUGUAAUGUGCUACCCUGGAUGGAACCCUGGAACCAAAAAAGGACAUAAGCAGAGGGACCUCCAGGAGAGAAGAGCAAGAAGUCUUCAGAGUGAUACCACCAGUCCCCAGUUCCCCAGGAAAGAACUGGGAUCUCCAUUACCCUUGUGAUGGCGAUAAUGUUCCCAAUGGGGACCAUGCUGAACUCCUCACAGGAUCACUCAGUCUUCAGUCCAGAGGAGGAUGAGGGAGCCCAGAACGUGGAGGCUAACCACCUGGCCCCUGACCCACAGCACUAACAGAUUCCAAAGAAAAUGCCUCUCAAACCAAGAUUACUGCAGCUCUCCCUGCUGGCCCCUGGACUCAGGUCUGAGCUUCUAACUCCAAGAUGCUGACUCUACUGCCGGGCUACUACUUCUAAAACAUCAUUUUCAUCAUGGGCACAGGCAAUUUGAAGAAGAGGAAUAACAAUGGGCAGGAGGGGACCUUGGGCAAACAAAUUCAUCUUUCUGGAUCUGUUUCCCCAUCUACAUGCUUGUGAAGUUCCCCUCCCUGCUCUGUCAACUCUACAAAACUGGGAUUUCCCUGGUGGCACAGUGGUUAAGAAUCCGCCUGCCAAUGCAGGGGACACAGGUUCGAGCCCUGGUCCGGGAAGAUGCCACAUGCCGUGGAGCAACUAAGCCCAUGUGCCGCAACUACUGAGCCUGUAUGCCACAACUACUGAAGCCUGCAUGCCUAGAGCCCGUGCUCCACAAAGAGAAGCCACCGCAAUGAGAAGCCUGUGCACCACAACAAACAGUAGCCCCUGCUCGCCACAACUAGAGAAAGCCUGUGAACAGCAACGAAGACUCAA
Long non-coding RNA from Lagenorhynchus albirostris (white-beaked dolphin), 2318 nucleotides. RefSeq lists it as uncharacterized. The transcript has 3 exons. Lineage: Eukaryota; Metazoa; Chordata; Mammalia; Artiodactyla; Delphinidae. The record is from RefSeq and is a predicted model, not a curated record.